UGCACGGACGGGGUCUCUGUCUCGUUAACGUUGACAGCUUACCGGCUCCGCUUUCACAGACUUAUUAUGCCACGUGUAAUUUGAAACAAUUACAAAAACACUGGCCCACUUGUUACAACACUCAUUUCGCCUCACAUAUACAAACCGCAGAUUCAAUAGCUUUACAUGCUUUCCAAUCACACCCCAGCGGAGCGGCAGUGUUCGUUGCAAAAAAAAAAAAAAAGUCUUGCGUUUCAUUUGCGCUCGCAUGCUACCGGAUAAUCUUUCACGGUUUGCCUGGGGUUUGUUUUGCUAUUUCAGCAGAAACUUGUGCAAGCUAUUUGAAUUACCAUGGGGGAAAAAAAAUGCGAGAAAUAUCAAUUGAUCGUCCUGUCAGUAUAAAUGAAUAAUCGAGUUGAACAAUCAAUCCUCAAAAAAAAAAAAAAAAAGGCGAAUAACAAAUGGCGUCUUAUUGUCUUGUACUCUCCAGGAUGCGUUACACGAGCAAGGAGAGGAAGAGUGAAUAAAUAAGACGUUUCAAUCCCAAAACAAGUCACCACAAUUCAUUAGAAAAGAAGUUACAGCAGAAGGCUCGGCGGCAAGCUAAGCAGAAGAAAUCCAAGUCGGCUGAAUUUCUGAUGGCGCGAGUCGAUGCGGCGGGCACGGAAAACCCGGCCUUCGACGCCGAGCCUUGCCUCCUUCCCGUUUGGCCGGCGAGAGAAAUUCAAGGUGACAGGGCAGAUAGCGCCCUUGCAGCUCCCUUCACCCCCUCCCCCACUCGCCUAAAUAAAUUUGAAAAAAAAAAGAAAAUGGAGCUGCGAGCCUCAGCCAAAGAAAGAGGUGAAGCUUCAUUUUUCAUUAGCCUCAAAUGUGUUGGCAGUAGAUGUGUUCCUGAUCUAACCUUUCCCCCCCGCUUUCUUUUCCAACUCACUUUCUGUGCGUUCAGGGGCCCCUCGGUCCCAGCAUUCCAAAGCGAGCGUGUCCUCACAGGCAAAAGCCCCUCCUAGAACUUCCUCCAGUGAAGAACGCUCCACCAGUGGGUGUUCUAUCGCUAUCCGGAAGCACCCCUGGACACAAUCGGCCUUGACUCCCACUCUCGGCUCCGUGCCUUGUGGUGGGCCGGAGUCGUAGGAGAGAGCGCAUUUACAUACGCUACGACCGUACGGAGCCCGGGCGCCGCAGACGGCGCCCGGGCUGCCAACGCCUCUGAAACACGGCUCGCGGCCAAUCGGGCAUACCAAUGUGUGGCCCCUUCUAAUUCACCGUGUCAGGAAGAACUCUUGAGGAAUGGGAUGGGCAAAUUAGGAUGCGUUGAAGGUUGCCAGUGUGCCAGUUUUCGCAGGGAUGAGUCACAUGGCAAGUUUUUGCUGUGUGUGC
This is an RNA transcript of Hippocampus zosterae (dwarf seahorse), 1356 nucleotides long. RefSeq lists it as uncharacterized. NCBI's taxonomy places the organism in Eukaryota, Metazoa, Chordata, Actinopteri, Syngnathiformes, Syngnathidae. The record is from RefSeq and is a predicted model, not a curated record. The transcript is spliced from 3 exons.